GGCAAAAAUAAGGAAAGCUUUGCCUUUGUUUUUGUUUGGGUCUUACAGAUGCAGUGUGCUGGUCUAUGUAGGCUGACCUGUACUCACAGCAAUCCUUCUGCUUCAGACUCCUGAGUGCUGAGAUUGUAGGUCUUUGAGCCACUUAAUUUGCAGUAGUCCAUUAUGGCGGCCCUAGAAAACUAAUGCAGUAGCUCACCCAAAAAACAGGUUGUAGGUAUAAAGGGCAAUGAAGAGUAUGAAAAAUGUUUCUGGAGUUAAAAGUGAUACUGGGAGCUCACGAAUGGACAGAAAGCGUGGGAAAUACGCAGUGAAUAUUGAACACUCUGGAAAACAGCUGCCAUUCCUGAGCCCAACAAAUUGUGAAGCUCACAACUCAGAAUGUCAGUUUUCUACAUCAGCUGGUCCUACUGGCACCAACUUAACUGAGCUCUGCACCGACUCAGGGCCCGUCGGUCACUCAGAAUUCCCAAACCAAGAAUUUCCACAGGUA
This 490-nucleotide long non-coding RNA is filed under the name Heterocephalus glaber (naked mole-rat). RNAcentral's name for it is "lncRNA (ENSHGLG00100044840.1)". Lineage: Eukaryota; Metazoa; Chordata; Mammalia; Rodentia; Bathyergidae. The record is from RNAcentral.